Molecule: unclassified non-coding RNA, 368 nt
Filed under: uncultured fungus
Lineage: Eukaryota; Fungi
Description: sequence contains ITS1
Source: RNAcentral
AGUUCAACAAAUGAGCGCUUUAUCGAAGCCGUUGCCGCAGGCAAGGAAAACCCGCGCAGCAGUCUUGACGUGUAUCGCGCUGCAGGGGGUCAACUGCUCGAAAAGAAAGCGUAUCCCUUCCGCAUCAAGGAAGGACAGCCCCAGCGCCCCUUUGGCUUGGCUGAGCCUGAAGAACUGCUCGACAAUAUCACGAUUGCCAGCACUUUGCUGAAUGAAGCUGCCAACAGCCGCGCAACAGGGCGCGAUAUGUGGACAGCGAACAGCAUUGCCGAAGAAGUUGCCAGCCAAACCAAAGCCCUGAUUGGCGAUAACGGCGAAUUGCUUAAGCAGAUGGGGCGCGAUUGGCAGCGCCUGGCCGAUUUGAUUGU